RNAcentral lists this long non-coding RNA (537 nucleotides) under Fukomys damarensis (Damara mole-rat). RNAcentral describes it as "lncRNA (ENSFDAG00000028815.1)". The record is from RNAcentral. Lineage: Eukaryota; Metazoa; Chordata; Mammalia; Rodentia; Bathyergidae.
GUCUUUGUGGAGGUGUGCGUAUAUUUGGAUAUUCUAAAAUUAUAAUUGUGUCCUAGGCGUGUUCUACUCCGCAAAUGUGUCAACACGUUUUCCAAAUAAAGCAGCCCUUCUGGGUAGUGUUAACAGAGAUGAAGUAAGGCUGUACUGAGAACUGAGAAGGGAAAGUGGAGCACACUGCUCUCUCCUCCCUUCCCACCCUCUUCGCUGCCUUUGGUGGAGAACUGAAUGUCAGGGCAGAAAAACAAGGAUGUCAAAGGGAUUUCAGCUUUCUCACAGGACAAACAGGGAUUAUGGUAGGAUGGGCAGAUAUCUGCACUGAUCCAGCCUUGUCAUCACGUUUCUGCAUUGCCGGGUACUCUGGAAAUAAAGGCCCAUUUUUCUGGGAUCCCUCUGCCUUCCUUCUUCAAUGUGGCCUUAAAUUUUUCAGUGGACGAAUUCUACGCCACCUUCUCAAGAUUGGCUUUUUCAGACAGAGCUUCCAUGAUUAAAAUUAUCCCAGUCUUCAUUCAUUGUGAGUUUGAAAGAAGUCCUCAACAG